CCGGAUGCUCCAAUGCGAUGCAUGUCGCGUUGGGAAAGAUUUCAUCGGUAUGGGAUGGGGUCGCGUCCUAUCAGGUAGUCGGCGGGGUAACGGCCCACCGAGCCUACGACGGGUAGCCGGCCUGAGAGGGCGACCGGCCACAUUGGGACUGAGAUACGGCCCAGACUCCUACGGGAGGCAGCAGUGGGGAAUAUUGCACAAUGGGCGCAAGCCUGAUGCAGCGACGCCGCGUGCGGGAUGGAGGCCUUCGGGUUGUAAACCGCUUUUGUCGGGGAGCAAGCCUUCGGGUGAGUGUACCCUUCGAAUAAGCACCGGCUAACUACGUGCCAGCAGCCGCGGUAAUACGUAGGGUGCAAGCGUUAUCCGGAAUUAUUGGGCGUAAAGAGCUCGUAGGCGGUUCGUCGCGUCCGGUGUGAAAGUCCAUCGCUUAACGGUGGAUCUGCGCCGGGUACGGGCGGGCUGGAGUGCGGUAGGGGAGACUGGAAUUCCGG
RNAcentral lists this ribosomal RNA (491 nucleotides) under uncultured Bifidobacterium sp. RNAcentral describes it as "bacterial SSU rRNA". It matches the Rfam family "Bacterial small subunit ribosomal RNA", at positions 169 to 672 of the family's 1533-position model. Lineage: Bacteria; Bacillati; Actinomycetota; Actinomycetes; Bifidobacteriales; Bifidobacteriaceae. The record is from RNAcentral.